GAUGAACGCUGGCGGCGUGCCUAAUACAUGCAAGUCGAGCGAACAGACGAGAGUGCUUGCACUCUCUGACGUUAGCGGCGGACGGGUGAGUAACACGUGGGUAACCUACCUAUAAGACUGGGAUAACUUCGGGAAACCGGAGCUAAUACCGGAUAAUAUUUAGCUUCGCAUGAAGCAAUAGUGAAAGACGGUUCUGCUGUCACUUAUAGAUGGACCCGCGGUGUAUUAGCUAGUUGGUGAGGUAACGGCUCACCAAGGCAACGAUACAUAGCCGACCUGUGAGGGUGCUCGGCCACACUGGGACGGAGACACGGCCCAGACUCCUACGGGAGGCAGAAGUAGGGAAUCUUCCGCAAUGGACGAAAGUCUGACGGAGCAAUGCCGCGUGAGUGAAGAAGGUUUUCGGAUCGUAAAACUCUGUUGUAAGGGAAGAACAAGUACGUGAGUAACUGAACGUACCUUGACGGUACCUUACCAGAAAGCCACGGCUAACUACGUG
This 499-nucleotide ribosomal RNA is filed under the name uncultured bacterium. RNAcentral describes it as "partial 16S ribosomal RNA". It matches the Rfam family "Bacterial small subunit ribosomal RNA", at positions 28 to 507 of the family's 1533-position model. The record is from RNAcentral.